AACGAACGCUGGCGGCAUGCCUAACACAUGCAAGUCGAACGAGAUCUUCGGGUCUAGUGGCGCACGGGUGCGUAACGCGUGGGAAUCUGCCCUUUGGUUCGGAAUAACAGUUGGAAACGACUGCUAAUACCGGAUGAUGACGAAAGUCCAAAGAUUUAUCGCCAGAGGAUGAGCCCGCGUAGGAUUAGCUAGUUGGUGUGGUAAAGGCGCACCAAGGCGACGAUCCUUAGCUGGUCUGAGAGGAUGAUCAGCCACACUGGGACUGAGACACGGCCCAGACUCCUACGGGAGGCAGCAGUGGGGAAUAUUGGACAAUGGGCGAAAGCCUGAUCCAGCAAUGCCGCGUGAGUGAUGAAGGCCUUAGGGUUGUAAAGCUCUUUUACCCGGGAUGAUAAUGACAGUACCGGGAGAAUAAGCUCCGGCCAACUACGUGCCAGCCGCCGCAGUAA
Molecule: ribosomal RNA, 449 nt
Filed under: uncultured bacterium
Lineage: Bacteria
Description: partial 16S ribosomal RNA
Rfam family: Bacterial small subunit ribosomal RNA
Source: RNAcentral